UGACUAUACAAAGGUAUUGUAAUAAGAUUUUAAUUGAAUGCUAAGAGAAUGAGGAUUUAGAAAAAAGCUUUCUUAAAAAUAAAAAUUAAAAUUUUUUUAAUUUGUGCAAAAACAAUUAUUCUCAUUAAAGACAAGAAGACCCUAAGAAUUUUUUAAUUUAAUAAUUUCUAAUAGAGUUACUUAUUAAAUAUUGAUUGGGGUAAUCAAAAAAUAUUAAUAACUUUUUAAUAAAUUAAAAUGACCCAUUAUUAAUGACUUUUUGAAAUAAAUACUCUAGGGAUAACAGCGUAAUAAUUUUUGAUAGAUCAUAUUGACAAAAUAGUUUGCGACCUCGAUGUUGGAUUAGGAUACUUUUUUAAUGAAGAAAUUAAAAUAAGAAGUUUGUUCAACUUUUGAAAUCCUACUUGAUCUGA
RNAcentral lists this ribosomal RNA (413 nucleotides) under Hyalomma kumari. Its description in RNAcentral is "partial 16S ribosomal RNA". Lineage: Eukaryota; Metazoa; Arthropoda; Arachnida; Ixodida; Ixodidae. The record is from RNAcentral.